AAAACUCUACCACCGGGUAGAAAAUGCGAAAGCAUUCGUCAACACAUCAUUAGGUCUUAGAAGAUGUGUUCACGGGUGCUUAUUUUUU
This 88-nucleotide non-coding RNA is filed under the name unclassified sequences. The record is from RNAcentral.